Molecule: non-coding RNA, 214 nt
Filed under: Liquorilactobacillus capillatus
Lineage: Bacteria; Bacillati; Bacillota; Bacilli; Lactobacillales; Lactobacillaceae
Description: Lactobacillus capillatus T-box sequence
Rfam family: T-box leader
About the family: Uncharged tRNA acts as the effector for transcription antitermination of genes in the T-box leader family.
Source: RNAcentral
UAAUUUACGUUGAUGAGGAUUAGUAAGAGAACUACUUAUUGCAGAGAGUGUACAGAUGGUGAAAGGUAUACAUAGUGAGUACUCUGAACUCGCCUUAGAGUUUCUUAUUGAACUUUUGUAGAUAAGAACGGGUAUUUCCGUUAAAGAAUGGAGUGUCAGCACCAGAAUUGGGUGUUGGAAAAUAGGUGGUACCGCGAGUCCUCUCGUCCUAUAG